Molecule: transfer RNA, 27 nt
Filed under: Rhinella ceratophrys
Lineage: Eukaryota; Metazoa; Chordata; Amphibia; Anura; Bufonidae
Description: partial tRNA-Gln
Source: RNAcentral
UUAGAAAGACAGGAAUUGAACCUGUAA